AGACGGUAGGGUAUUGGCCUACCGUGGCAAUGACGGGUAACGGGGAAUUAGGGUUCGAUUCCGGAGAGGGAGCCUGAGAAACGGCUACCACAUCUAAGGAAGGCAGCAGGCGCGCAAAUUACCCAGUCCCAAUACAGGGGGGUAGUGACAAGAAAUAACAAUACAGGACUUUUUGGUUUUGUAAUUGGAAUGAGUUAAGUAUAAACCCCUUUACAAGUAUCAAUUGGAGGGCAAGUCUGGUGCCGGCAGCCGCGGUAAUUCCAGCUCCAAUAGCGUAUAUUAAAGUUGUUGCAGUUAAAAAGCUCGUAGUUGGAUUUCUGUUAAUAAUUUAUAUAAAAUAUUUUGAAUAUUUAUAUAACAUUAACAUAAUUCAUAUUACUAUAUUUUUUAGUAUAUGAAAUUUUACUUUGAGAAAAUUAGAGUGCUUAAAGCAGGCAUAUGCCUUGAAUACUCCAGCAUGGAAUAAUAUUAAAGAUUUUUAUCUUUCUUAUUGGUUCUAAGAUAAGAAUAAUGAUUAAUAGGGACAGUUGGGGGCAUUUGUAUUUAACAGUCAGAGGUGA
Molecule: ribosomal RNA, 560 nt
Filed under: Cryptosporidium parvum
Lineage: Eukaryota; Apicomplexa; Conoidasida; Eucoccidiorida; Cryptosporidiidae
Description: SSU rRNA
Rfam family: Eukaryotic small subunit ribosomal RNA
Source: RNAcentral